GCCCACCAAGCUCAGGUGGUAGAGCGCGCCCCUGAAAAGGGCGAGGCUCCCGGUUCGACGCCGGGGGUGGGCA
This 73-nucleotide transfer RNA is filed under the name Micromonospora costi. RNAcentral describes it as "tRNA-Phe". It matches the Rfam family "tRNA". Rfam says of the family: Transfer RNA (tRNA) molecules are approximately 80 nucleotides in length. Their secondary structure includes four short double-helical elements and three loops (D, anti-codon, and T loops). Further hydrogen bonds mediate the characteristic L-shaped molecular structure. tRNAs have two regions of fundamental functional importance: the anti-codon, which is responsible for specific mRNA codon recognition, and the 3' end, to which the tRNAs corresponding amino acid is attached (by aminoacyl-tRNA synthetases). tRNAs cope with the degeneracy of the genetic code in two manners: having more than one tRNA (with a specific anti-codon) for a particular amino acid; and 'wobble' base-pairing, i.e. permitting non-standard base-pairing at the 3rd anti-codon position. The record is from RNAcentral. Lineage: Bacteria; Bacillati; Actinomycetota; Actinomycetes; Micromonosporales; Micromonosporaceae.